AGGUGUGAUCAUACCGGCACUAAUGAUCCGGAUCCCAUCAGAACUUCGCAGGUAAGCAUGCUUGGGCAAUAGUAGUACUAGGAUGGGUGACCUCGUGGGAAGUCCUUGUGUUGCAUCUC
Molecule: ribosomal RNA, 119 nt
Organism: Lupinus angustifolius (narrow-leaved blue lupine)
Lineage: Eukaryota; Viridiplantae; Streptophyta; Magnoliopsida; Fabales; Fabaceae
Source: Rfam